This 207-nucleotide ribosomal RNA is filed under the name uncultured bacterium. RNAcentral's name for it is "partial 16S ribosomal RNA". It matches the Rfam family "Bacterial small subunit ribosomal RNA", at positions 568 to 774 of the family's 1533-position model. The record is from RNAcentral.
UGCGUAGGCGGUUUGGCAAGUCUUAUGUGAAAUCUAUGGGCUCAACCCAUAGUCUGCAUAAGAAACUGCCGGGCUUGAGUAUGGGAGAGGUGAGUGGAAUUUCCGGUGUAGCGGUGAAAUGCGUAGAUAUCGGAAGGAACACCUGUGGCGAAAGCGGCUCACUGGACCAUAACUGACGCUGAUGCACGAAAGCUAGGGGAGCAAACA